RNAcentral lists this ribosomal RNA (2932 nucleotides) under Enterobacter hormaechei subsp. steigerwaltii. RNAcentral describes it as "bacterial LSU rRNA". It matches the Rfam family "Bacterial large subunit ribosomal RNA". Lineage: Bacteria; Pseudomonadati; Pseudomonadota; Gammaproteobacteria; Enterobacterales; Enterobacteriaceae. The record is from RNAcentral.
GGGUUGUGAGGUUAAGCGACUAAGCGUACACGGUGGAUGCCCUGGCAGUCAGAGGCGAUGAAGGACGUGCUAAUCUGCGAAAAGCGCCGGCGAGGUGAUAUGAACCCUUGACCCGGCGAUGUCCGAAUGGGGAAACCCAGUGCAAUCCGUUGCACUAUCGUUAACUGAAUACAUAGGUUAACGAGGCGAACCGGGGGAACUGAAACAUCUAAGUACCCCGAGGAAAAGAAAUCAACCGAGAUUCCCCCAGUAGCGGCGAGCGAACGGGGAGCAGCCCGGAGUCUGAAUCAGCUUGUGUGUUAGUGGAACGGUCUGGAAAGUCCGACGGUACAGGGUGAUAGUCCCGUACACGAAAGCACACUUGCUGUGAACUCGAAGAGUAGGGCGGGACACGUGGUAUCCUGUCUGAAUAUGGGGGGACCAUCCUCCAAGGCUAAAUACUCCUGACUGACCGAUAGUGAACCAGUACCGUGAGGGAAAGGCGAAAAGAACCCCGGCGAGGGGAGUGAAAAAGAACCUGAAACCGUGUACGUACAAGCAGUGGGAGCCUCUUUAUGGGGUGACUGCGUACCUUUUGUAUAAUGGGUCAGCGACUUAUAUUCUGUAGCAAGGUUAACCGUAUAGGGGAGCCGAAGGGAAACCGAGUCUUAACUGGGCGUUAAGUUGCAGGGUAUAGACCCGAAACCCGGUGAUCUAGCCAUGGGCAGGUUGAAGGUUGGGUAACACUAACUGGAGGACCGAACCGACUAAUGUUGAAAAAUUAGCGGAUGACCUGUGGCUGGGGGUGAAAGGCCAAUCAAACCGGGAGAUAGCUGGUUCUCCCCGAAAGCUAUUUAGGUAGCGCCUCGUGAACUCAUCUUCGGGGGUAGAGCACUGUUUCGGCUAGGGGGCCAUCCCGGCUUACCAACCCGAUGCAAACUACGAAUACCGAAGAAUGUUAUCACGGGAGACACACGGCGGGUGCUAACGUCCGUCGUGAAGAGGGAAACAACCCAGACCGCCAGCUAAGGUCCCAAAGUCAUGGUUAAGUGGGAAACGAUGUGGGAAGGCACAGACAGCCAGGAUGUUGGCUUAGAAGCAGCCAUCAUUUAAAGAAAGCGUAAUAGCUCACUGGUCGAGUCGGCCUGCGCGGAAGAUGUAACGGGGCUAAACCAUGCACCGAAGCUGCGGCAGCGACACUAUGUGUUGUUGGGUAGGGGAGCGUUCUGUAAGCCGUUGAAGGUGGCCUGUGAGGGUUGCUGGAGGUAUCAGAAGUGCGAAUGCUGACAUAAGUAACGAUAAAGCGGGUGAAAAGCCCGCUCGCCGGAAGACCAAGGGUUCCUGUCCAACGUUAAUCGGGGCAGGGUGAGUCGACCCCUAAGGCGAGGCCGAAAGGCGUAGUCGAUGGGAAACAGGUUAAUAUUCCUGUACUUGGUGUUACUGCGAAGGGGGGACGGAGAAGGCUAUGUCAGCCGGGCGACGGUUGUCCCGGUUUAAGCAUGUAGGCGGAGGUUCCAGGUAAAUCCGGUACCUUAUUAACGCUGAGGUGUGAUGACGAGGCACUACGGUGCUGAAGUGAUAAAUGCCCUGCUUCCAGGAAAAGCCUCUAAGCAUCAGGUAACACGAAAUCGUACCCCAAACCGACACAGGUGGUCAGGUAGAGAAUACCAAGGCGCUUGAGAGAACUCGGGUGAAGGAACUAGGCAAAAUGGUGCCGUAACUUCGGGAGAAGGCACGCUGAUGUGUAGGUGAAGCCCCUGCGGGCGGAGCUGAAAUCAGUCGAAGAUACCAGCUGGCUGCAACUGUUUAUUAAAAACACAGCACUGUGCAAACACGAAAGUGGACGUAUACGGUGUGACGCCUGCCCGGUGCCGGAAGGUUAAUUGAUGGGGUUAGCGGCAACGCGAAGCUCUUGAUCGAAGCCCCGGUAAACGGCGGCCGUAACUAUAACGGUCCUAAGGUAGCGAAAUUCCUUGUCGGGUAAGUUCCGACCUGCACGAAUGGCGUAAUGAUGGCCAGGCUGUCUCCACCCGAGACUCAGUGAAAUUGAACUCGCUGUGAAGAUGCAGUGUACCCGCGGCAAGACGGAAAGACCCCGUGAACCUUUACUAUAGCUUGACACUGAACACUGGUCCUUGAUGUGUAGGAUAGGUGGGAGGCUUUGAAGCGUGGACGCCAGUCUGCGUGGAGCCAACCUUGAAAUACCACCCUUUAAUGGCUGGUGUUCUAACGUAGACCCGUAAUCCGGGUUGCGGACAGUGUCUGGUGGGUAGUUUGACUGGGGCGGUCUCCUCCCAAAGAGUAACGGAGGAGCACGAAGGUUGGCUAAUCCUGGUCGGACAUCAGGAGGUUAGUGCAAUGGCAUAAGCCAGCUUGACUGCGAGCGUGACGGCGCGAGCAGGUGCGAAAGCAGGUCAUAGUGAUCCGGUGGUUCUGAAUGGAAGGGCCAUCGCUCAACGGAUAAAAGGUACUCCGGGGAUAACAGGCUGAUACCGCCCAAGAGUUCAUAUCGACGGCGGUGUUUGGCACCUCGAUGUCGGCUCAUCACAUCCUGGGGCUGAAGUAGGUCCCAAGGGUAUGGCUGUUCGCCAUUUAAAGUGGUACGCGAGCUGGGUUUAGAACGUCGUGAGACAGUUCGGUCCCUAUCUGCCGUGGGCGCUGGAGAAUUGAGGGGGGCUGCUCCUAGUACGAGAGGACCGGAGUGGACGCAUCACUGGUGUUCGGGUUGUCAUGCCAAUGGCACUGCCCGGUAGCUAAAUGCGGAAGAGAUAAGUGCUGAAAGCAUCUAAGCACGAAACUUGCCCCGAGAUGAGUUCUCCCUGAGACCUUGAGUCUCCUGAAGGAACGUUGAAGACGACGACGUUGAUAGGUCGGGUGUGUAAGCGCAGCGAUGCGUUGAGCUAACCGAUACUAAUGAACCGUGAGGCUUAACCUUACAACGCCGAAGGUGUUU